UAUAAUAUAUAUAUAUAUAUAUAUAUAUAUAUAUAUAUAAUUUUAUUUUAUUUUAUUUUUUUUAAAUACUAUUAUUAUAUAAAUAUUAUUUAUAAAUAUAUAAUAAUUUAUUUUAUAAUAUUAAAUAUAUAUUAUUAUAUAUUAUAUUACAUAUUAUAUUACAUAUUUAUUAUAUAAUAUAAUUUAUUAUAAAUAUAAAUUAUAAUAAUUAAAUAUAUUAUCAUAAUUAUUAUAUAUUAAUAAUAUAUAAUAUAUAUAAUUAGAGAAAAUAUAUAUAAUAAUUAUAAUAUAUUAAUAAUAUAUAUAUUAAAAAAUAAUUUAAAUAGUUUUUUUCUUUAUUUUUCUUUAUUUUUCAACCAAACAACUAUCAUGAAAAACUAGUUUUCUUUUUCUACAAAUCAAACAUAAACGAUGUAAAACUUUUUUCCACCAAAAAUUUUUUUUCCACAGUUUUAUGUGGAACCAAACACACCCUUAACGAAGAAUAUAUAUUUCAGGCAUCCAAA
Molecule: long non-coding RNA, 506 nt
Filed under: Ananas comosus (pineapple)
Lineage: Eukaryota; Viridiplantae; Streptophyta; Magnoliopsida; Poales; Bromeliaceae
Description: long non-coding RNA (ACOM_LNC019734)
Source: RNAcentral